AUGGCUGCCGCCACCAAAACCAAGCAGAAGCAGCAGCAGCAGCCGGCACCGAAGCCGGAGUUUGCCGACGGCGAGAAAGCCAAAGCGCUGGUUGACCAGGAGAACCUGGCAGCGGGAGUGAUACGGCGCAUCGAGGAAGAGAAAGCCAAAGCAGCGGCCGCUGCCAUGGAAGUGAAAGCGGUGCUGGAGAAGAAGGCUACGGCGUGCAGCAGCUGGAAAGAGCGCGUGGCAGGGGGGCUGGAGCAGCUGACGGACAUGAAGUGA
RNAcentral lists this ribosomal RNA (264 nucleotides) under Triticum aestivum (bread wheat). RNAcentral's name for it is "partial small subunit ribosomal RNA". Lineage: Eukaryota; Viridiplantae; Streptophyta; Magnoliopsida; Poales; Poaceae. The record is from RNAcentral.